This 305-nucleotide ribosomal RNA is filed under the name uncultured bacterium. RNAcentral describes it as "bacterial SSU rRNA". It matches the Rfam family "Bacterial small subunit ribosomal RNA", at positions 337 to 638 of the family's 1533-position model. The record is from RNAcentral.
UCCUACGGGAGGCAGCAGUGAGGAAUAUUGGUCAAUGGGCGAGAGCCUGAACCAGCCAAGUCGCGUGAGGGAAGACGGUCCUAUGGAUUGUAAACCUCUUUUGUCGGGGAGCAAAAAGGCCUCGUGAGGCCACAAGUGAGAGUACCCGAAGAAAAAGCAUCGGCUAACUCCGUGCCAGCAGCCGCGGUAAUACGUAGGGAGCGAGCGUUAUCCGGAAUUAUCGGGUGUAAAGGGUGCGUAGACGGGAACUUAAGUUAGUUGUGAAAUCCCUUAGCUCAACUAAGGAAUGGCAACUGAAACUGGGU